GGGGAUGUAAAGGUUUCGACGGGGAUUUCAAACCUUGGUAAGCGAGCGGCGGUGCGGAACCGCCAUAAAAUCCGCAACUUUAAAAUUAACUGACAACAAAACAGUUGCUUUAGCAGCCUGAGUGCUGCUCGUUCCUGCACAGAGUACCUCGGCUGUGUAAGGAGCGUCGAUUAGAGGUAAAUGUGAACAGGGGAGCGCUCCGAACCCUGUCACAGCUUAGGAGCUGCCAAAGUGCAUAGCCUGUUGAUGGGCGAUGCACCGAGGGAGAUUUAAAACACCAACUGCGCUCGGAGAAACCCUUGGCAAGAUUUUUUCGGACAGGGGUUCGAUUCCCCUCAUCUCCACCA
This 347-nucleotide transfer-messenger RNA is filed under the name Ruminococcus bromii. Its description in RNAcentral is "transfer-messenger RNA, SsrA". It matches the Rfam family "transfer-messenger RNA". Rfam says of the family: Bacterial tmRNA, also known as 10Sa RNA or SsrA, is named for its dual tRNA and mRNA-like properties. The record is from RNAcentral. RNAcentral also lists the same sequence under 3 other names. Lineage: Bacteria; Bacillati; Bacillota; Clostridia; Eubacteriales; Oscillospiraceae.